Molecule: ribosomal RNA, 250 nt
Filed under: uncultured bacterium
Lineage: Bacteria
Description: partial 16S ribosomal RNA
Rfam family: Bacterial small subunit ribosomal RNA
Source: RNAcentral
AACGUAGGUGGCAAGCGUUAUCCGGAUUCACUGGGCGUAAAGCGCACGCAGGCGGCUCUGUAGGUAGGGCAUGAAAUCUCCUGGCUUAACUGGGAGAGGUUGUCCUAUACCGCGGGGCUUGAGGAUGGGAGAGGGAAGUGGAAUUGCCGGUGUAGUGGUGAAAUGCGUAGAGAUCGGCAGGAACACCAGUGGCGAAGGCGGCUUCCUGGCCCAUUCCUGACGCUCAAGUGCGAAAGCUAGGGGAGCGAAC